AGAGAGAGAGAGAGAGAGCACUCGCGCUCACCGACUUGUGGGGAACUCACACCUGACAAAGGACCUUUCUUAUGGGGAAAGUUCAGAAUUGUGGGGAACUCUCUCGUUCCCCACAAAUAUGGUCAUGGGGUUUUUUGAAUUCUACGUGUUCUACUGAUAAUAUUUAUUCGAUUUGUGGUCAUUUUUGAAAAAAUCCCCAUAAGUCCGUAAAAUUGACUCGCAGUAAUUUUCUCACUGCACCGUAAAACGAAUGUUUGAGGAUGCUGGGAAAUGUUCAUUCGGAACGCAGCGGAAUUUAAACUGGUCCCCAUAUGAUACCAAUUUAUUGCGGGCAAUGGCUGCUCCGAGAAUAUGUGGCCUAAUGGCUAUCCUGUAAGAACAAACUACGGAUUUAUAUGAAUUCAGCACCCCCGGGAUAUGGUUUUCGGGUUUUCACCACAAGAGCAAAUUAUACAACUUUAUUCUUGAAAAUGUUAGAGACUGAGACUUGGAGUCAAAGUCAACAGACACGCUUGCAUGGACAUGAAGGAUGUAAAGAACUAGAGUAUUAUAACUGAAAGCAUUUUGUCUGGAUUUGUGUAUGGAAACAGAAGGAUUUAGUA
Molecule: long non-coding RNA, 602 nt
Organism: Saccostrea cuccullata (small rock oyster)
Lineage: Eukaryota; Metazoa; Mollusca; Bivalvia; Ostreida; Ostreidae
Exons: 3
Source: RefSeq, a predicted model, not a curated record